Coturnix japonica (Japanese quail) is the source of this 1501-nucleotide long non-coding RNA. RefSeq lists it as uncharacterized. The record is from RefSeq and is a predicted model, not a curated record. NCBI's taxonomy places the organism in Eukaryota, Metazoa, Chordata, Aves, Galliformes, Phasianidae.
CAUCCACCGCUCAGGGAGCAGCAGGAGGGUCUCCAGACAAUCUCUCGCCCCUCCCGGGGCAGCUCCCUGCCCGCCCCGGCUGCUCCCGAGCCUCUCAUCGAUAACCAUCGGCUAUUUGCAAGGGUAAACAGCGACAGAGCCGGCGGCACAGGCGAGGGAGGGAGGGAAGGAGGGGGAAAAGCCUUGUCUGCCUCGGGAGCACCACCCGUGGCACAGCGAGCGCUGCGGCGGGCAGAGCCGCACGGAGAGCAGCGGGCGGAGGGGUCGCGGGCGCGGGGCCGAGCCCAGACUGAUCUGGGGGGGGCCCGUCCCGUCGGGGCAGGUCCCGGGCGGGGCCGGGUGGUGGCGGCGGCCUCCAAUGGGGGCUAAAGGGGGCCGCUCUGUGGGGAUGCCCGCUUCCCGCUGCCCGUUACCCGCUGCCCGCUACCUGCUCCGCUCUGCUCGGCGGCUCUCGGCGGGAGGCAGCGGAGGAGAGAAGCGGCCGGAGAAGAAGACGGAGCCGGGCUGCCGAGAGCCGCAGCCGGUUGUUUCAUCUGCAAGGAGGGACACCAGAAAGGUUGUGAACGGAGAAGAAAUGAAAUAUUACCCUCUCUAUGGAAGGGUCAUACCGUCGCGGAUACAGCGCUGGAAUAGGAGCUGGCUGGGAAAGCAUCAUUUAUAACACAGCCAAAACACUUCUUCCCAUCCCAAAACCUGGGAAAGGAAUGAAUAGAUCGCCCCGAAAAACCCGAUUGAUGAAGGCAAAUACAUGUCAGACGGGCAAAGAGAAGAAGGAAAAUUCCCUAAAUAUCCAACGGGUCACUUACAUGAGGGAACGAUGCACAUCGCACUCACAUCUACAGUCCGAUACACCACAGAUGUGUUUGUCGAUGUGCUGGACAGCAUGUUUGAAAUGAUGUUUUAUGCAAUAGUGUUUCGAAGGGCUCGCGAGGAGGGUGGCCAGCGUGGCACAUAGAACCGUGCAGCCAGGCGUUGUGCCCAGCAGCCGAGCCGCAGCGCCGUGCUUCCAGCCGGCUGUCAGAGAGAGGACCCGCCCUAGCAAAGAGGAGACGAACCUACUUCAAGCCUGUCACCGUGUGCUUCACAGAAAGGUGCGGCGAGGGCAGGGAGGGGGAGAGAGAGCGAAGGGAACAGGGGGAAACCCCGACGAGGUGUCGGGGCGAGGGCACCCGACGGGGAGCUGCGGGAGCGGCUGCUGGCGGGCCUCGGGCCGCGCAGGUGCCGGGGUUCCGCGCCCGCGUUGCCUUCGCCGAGCUCUGCGGGGCCCCUCGUAGGACCUGGACACCCGCCGCAGGCGAGGUGGGGGCGGCGGUACCGUCCCGUCGGGUUCCCGGCCCAGGAGGAGAGGUGAGAGCGGCCGUCGGCACAUGUGCGCUGCACACACCGGCGCUGUCUCCUCUCGACAAAGUGGACCCGUGAUUAAUACCGGCGGACAGCUCCCCCCGACCCCUCUCCCCCUCCCCUUUUCUCCUCCCCUCUCGCCCACUCCUCCCGAGGUCCU